CGAACCAAGUAGAAGCACCCGCUUCUCACCUGUAGCGACGCAUAAAGCAGUUGGCAGGUUAAUCACAUUACACAUAACUGUGUAUAAGGAAGAGCGGGUAUUUUAUACCUGCUCUUCCUUUUUGCU
Regulatory RNA element from Staphylococcus aureus subsp. aureus NCTC 8325, 126 nucleotides. It matches the Rfam family "Ribosomal protein L20 leader". Rfam says of the family: This family is a putative r-protein leader autoregulatory structure found in B. subtilis and other low-GC Gram-positive bacteria. It is located in the 5' untranslated regions of mRNAs encoding initiation factor 3 followed by ribosomal proteins L35 and L20 (infC-rpmI-rplT). A Rho-independent transcription terminator structure that is probably involved in regulation is included at the 3' end. Lineage: Bacteria; Bacillati; Bacillota; Bacilli; Caryophanales; Staphylococcaceae. The record is from Rfam.